GCCUCAAUAGCUCAGUGGUAGAGCGUUUGGUGAAUAUCGGAAUGUGCAGUUAUAGUCACUAAUAGGCUAGGGUUCGAAUCCCUAUUGAGGCU
Lentinula edodes (shiitake mushroom) is the source of this 92-nucleotide non-coding RNA. The record is from Rfam. Lineage: Eukaryota; Fungi; Basidiomycota; Agaricomycetes; Agaricales; Omphalotaceae.